RNAcentral lists this small nucleolar RNA (116 nucleotides) under Dasypus novemcinctus (nine-banded armadillo). RNAcentral's name for it is "Small nucleolar RNA SNORA31 (ENSDNOG00000039099.1)". It matches the Rfam family "Small nucleolar RNA SNORA31". Rfam says of the family: ACA31 (SNORA31) belongs to the H/ACA class of snoRNAs which are thought to guide the sites of modification of uridines to pseudouridines. ACA31 is predicted to guide the pseudouridylation of U3713 in 28S rRNA and U218 in 18S rRNA. The record is from RNAcentral. Lineage: Eukaryota; Metazoa; Chordata; Mammalia; Cingulata; Dasypodidae.
AUGCAUCUUUGACCUGUAGCAAUUAAUGUCUGCUGCUAAGGUUGAUGCAAGAAAAAGAAAGUCCUUGCACUUUCUUUCUGGUUUUGGCAGUCAAGACUGAAUGGGGGAAUACAGGA